Molecule: ribosomal RNA, 301 nt
Filed under: uncultured bacterium
Lineage: Bacteria
Description: partial 16S ribosomal RNA
Rfam family: Bacterial small subunit ribosomal RNA
Source: RNAcentral
CAGUCGCCACGGUAACACGGAGGGUGCAAGCGUUAAUCGGAAUUACUGGGCGUAAAGCGCACGCAGGCGGUCUGUCAAGUCAGAUGUGAAAUCCCCGGGCUUAACCUGGGAACUGCAUUUGAAACUGGCAGGCUAGAGUCUUGUAGAGGGGGGUAGAAUUCCAGGUGUAGCGGUGAAAUGCGUAGAGAUCUGGAGGAAUACCGGUGGCGAAGGCGGCCCCCUGGACAAAGACUGACGCUCAGGUGCGAAAGCGUGGGGAGCAAACAGGAUUAGAUACCCCGGUAGUCCCUGUCUCUUAUAA